RNAcentral lists this ribosomal RNA (497 nucleotides) under uncultured bacterium. RNAcentral describes it as "partial 16S ribosomal RNA". It matches the Rfam family "Bacterial small subunit ribosomal RNA", at positions 28 to 507 of the family's 1533-position model. The record is from RNAcentral.
GAUGAACGCUGGCGGCGUGCCUAAUACAUGCAAGUCGAGCGAACAGACGAGGAGCUUGCUCCUCUGACGUUAUCGGCGCACGUGUGAGUAACACGUGUAUAACCUACCUAUAAGACUGGUAUAACUUCGGGAAACCGGCGCUUAUCCCAUAUAAUAUAUUGACCCAUAUGGUUCAAUAAUAAAAGACGGUUUUGCUAUCACUUAUAGAUGGAUCCUCGCCGCAUUAGCUAGUUGAUAAGGUAACGGCUUACCACGGCAACGAUGCGUAGCCGACCUGAGAGGGUGAUCGGCCACACUGGAACUGAGACACGGUCCAGACUCCUACGGGAGGCAGCAGUAGGGAAUCUUCCGCAAUGGGCGAAGGCCUGACGGAGCAACGCCGCGUGAGUGAUGAAGGUCUUGGGAUCGUAAAACUCGGUUAUUAGGGAAGAACAAAUGUGGAAGUAACUAUGCACGUCGUGACGGUACCUAAUCAGAAAGCCACGGCUAACUACGUG